This 606-nucleotide unclassified non-coding RNA is filed under the name Homo sapiens (human). RNAcentral's name for it is "ATP binding cassette subfamily F member 1 (multiple genes)". The record is from RNAcentral. Lineage: Eukaryota; Metazoa; Chordata; Mammalia; Primates; Hominidae.
GGAAAUAGCACCGGGCGCCGCCACAGUAGCUGUAACUGCCACCGCGAUGCCGAAGGCGCCCAAGCAGCAGCCGCCGGAGCCCGAGUGGAUCGGGGACGGAGAGAGCACGAGCCCAUCAGUUCUUUGAAGAGCUGGCAGUAGAAGAUAAACAGGCUGGGGAAGAAGAGAAAGUGCUCAAGGAGAAGGAGCAGCAGCAGCAGCAACAGCAACAGCAGCAAAAAAAAAAGCGAGAUACCCGAAAAGGCAGGCGGAAGAAGGAUGUGGAUGAUGAUGGAGAAGAGAAAGAGCUCAUGGAGCGUCUUAAGAAGCUCUCAGUGCCAACCAGUGAUGAGGAGGAUGAAGUACCCGCCCCAAAACCCCGCGGAGGGAAGAAAACCAAGGGUGGUAAUGUUUUUGCAGCCCUGAUUCAGGAUCAGAGUGAGGAAGAGGAGGAGGAAGAAAAACAUCCUCCUAAGCCUGCCAAGCCGGAGAAGAAUCGGAUCAAUAAGGCCGUAUCUGAGGAACAGCAGCCUGCACUCAAGGGCAAAAAGGGAAAGGAAGAGAAGUCAAAAGGGAAGGCUAAGCCUCAAAAUAAAUUCGCUGCUCUGGACAAUGAAGAGGAGGAUA